UAAUACAGAGGUGGCGAGCGUUGUUCGGAAUUAUUGGGCGUAAAGAGCACGUAGGUGGGUUUGUAAGUCAGGUGUGAAAGCCUUCUGUUCAACGGAAGAAUUGCAUCUGAAACUACAAGUCUUGAGUGUAGGAGGGGAGAAUGGAACUUCUGGUGGAGCGGUGAAAUGCGUAGAUAUCAGAAGGAACGCCGGCGGCGAAAGCGAUUCUCUGGCCUAUUACUGACACUCAGUGCGCGAAAGCUAGGGGAGCAAACGGGAUUAGAUACCCCGGUAGUCCUAGCCGUAAACGAUGGGCACUAAGUAGAGGGAAUUACCGAUGUUCUCUCUGCCGUAGCUAACGCAUUAAGUGCCCCGCCUGGGGAGUACGGCCGCAAGGCUA
Molecule: ribosomal RNA, 379 nt
Filed under: uncultured Planctomycetia bacterium
Lineage: Bacteria; Pseudomonadati; Planctomycetota; Planctomycetia
Description: bacterial SSU rRNA
Rfam family: Bacterial small subunit ribosomal RNA
Source: RNAcentral